RNAcentral lists this long non-coding RNA (323 nucleotides) under Capsella rubella. RNAcentral describes it as "long non-coding RNA (CRUB_LNC001330)". The record is from RNAcentral. Lineage: Eukaryota; Viridiplantae; Streptophyta; Magnoliopsida; Brassicales; Brassicaceae.
CAUCAUCAUCAUCAUCAUCAUCAUCAUCAAUUAAUCAUCUUAUAAUAGAAGUUCAGAAAUGCUUUAUUUAAAUUUCGGUUUAGUUUUUGGUUUUAGAAUUUCUUAGCAAAUAUAAAGACGGCUACAUUAUGAAGCGAUGUUGAUGAUGCAGAUUUAAUCUUUAGUCAAACAGCUCUCUUUGCACACAAAAAAUAAAAUAAAAAAUAAAACAGCUCUGAACUUUAAAUUUGAUUUCAUGUUUCUUGAACAACAAUUUAAACCAUACAUCUAUACACUUCUGGAUCGAUUAUUCAGUUACGUUGGGAUCGAAUCGGUAUAUCCAG